Canis lupus familiaris (dog) is the source of this 657-nucleotide long non-coding RNA. RefSeq lists it as uncharacterized. The transcript is spliced from 2 exons. NCBI's taxonomy places the organism in Eukaryota, Metazoa, Chordata, Mammalia, Carnivora, Canidae. The record is from RefSeq and is a predicted model, not a curated record.
AGGGUACUGAGGACAGCUGUUCUCAUCGGGCUGGGGCCUGGGCAGGAAGAAAGCCUUUGCUCUGGAUUCCUGUUCCUACAUUGGGCUGGCUGGCUCCUAUGGGCUGGCGUCCCAUAGGAGACGCCUAGGGCAAGAGGCAGCAUGAAGAAGGACUUGGGGUUCCCUCUGGUGCCACAAGUGGGUUCUUAGCUAACCAGCUGGCCACCAACCCAACACAGCCCAGACCCUGGACUCAGAUCACUAAGAGUCAUCCUGGAGAGUCAUCUAAUUGUCCUUGGCUCCCCAAGCGCCUCCCAGUUCCCACCUGUCAUUCUGCCAAUAGGGUGGGUGGAGGUGUGUAGCGGGGAUGGUCUUAGGGUCAUUGCAUCACCGCUAUAGCCUCAGACCCUUGCAGGUGAAAAUCGCUCAAUUGCUUGUUACUAGGGAACAGGGUAAUUGAGACAAGGGGAGGAACCUUCCUAAGCACAUGGACAUCCCACUGAGGACAUUGCCUGAGCGACUGCUGGCCUGAGGCCGAGGGCCAGGGCAAGUUCAAGAGAGGAAGGGUCUGGUGCCUGGUGAUACGUGCGAGCCCUCUCUCAGGCCCCCCCACCCCCACCCGGGUUUGUUUUUCUGAUAUUCAACAGAAAACUGUCAGGAGGACGACGUCCUAACACA